UUGACUUAUUUAAAAAUCUUACUCAGAGAGGCCAAUGGUUGCAAUGGUUUGGUUGUGUCCCUCCGGCGGGCGCCCCGCGAGGGGGCCGGGAGAGGCGCCCACUAGGGGUUGGCCUGCCCGCCGAAGCAACGAAUGUGGGGUAACGUUCGCGAUGGUUUAAGGGAGUUUUGCAACUCUUUAAUGAUCCCUCCGCUGGUUCACCAACGGAGA
RNAcentral lists this unclassified non-coding RNA (210 nucleotides) under uncultured fungus. RNAcentral describes it as "sequence contains ITS1". Lineage: Eukaryota; Fungi. The record is from RNAcentral.